Prosopis cineraria is the source of this 383-nucleotide long non-coding RNA. RefSeq lists it as uncharacterized. The transcript is spliced from 3 exons. NCBI's taxonomy places the organism in Eukaryota, Viridiplantae, Streptophyta, Magnoliopsida, Fabales, Fabaceae. The record is from RefSeq and is a predicted model, not a curated record.
AGUUGUGGUAGGGAUUUUCCUUUCUGGGCAUCGUUUUUUCCUUUUGCUACUUUUGUUUCUGUCCGGACUCUUGCGAUGUUCCUGGAAAUGAGUAAUCCUGUUCAAAAUAUCUAUGCUGAGACGGAUGCGAAGAAAGUCACAGCGAAAGCAAUCCCAGCACCUUGCUAUUUGAGGACGCUGCAUAGGGUGGCUCCAAAUACAGAGACUCAGUAUCAAGCUAUAAGGAGGCGACAUGAUUGGGAAGAAGCAGCAUAACAAAGAUUAGAUGUUCGUCACAAAAACAGAGUAGAAGGCGAAAGGUGGGAGGACCCAAAAUCCAAAGAUUGCCAUUGAGAGCUCCUACAAGCUCUUGAAUCGAGAAGGAUGAAAAUACCUAUGUUAGC